This 432-nucleotide unclassified non-coding RNA is filed under the name soil metagenome. Its description in RNAcentral is "partial contains 5.8S ribosomal RNA, internal transcribed spacer 2, and large subunit ribosomal RNA". The stretch from base 1 to 120 matches the Rfam family "5.8S ribosomal RNA", at positions 35 to 154 of the family's 154-position model. The record is from RNAcentral.
GAUGAAGAACGUAGCGAAAUGCGAUUCGUAAUGUGAAUUGCAGAAUUCAGUGAAUCAUCGAAUCUUUGAACGCAUAUUGCGCUCUCUGGUAUUCCGGAGAGCAUGCUUGUUUGAGUAUCAGUAAACACCUCAACUUCCAUAUCUUUUUUGAAAUGGGAGUUGGACUUGAGUGAUCCCAACGCUUUUCCUCACCGAAAAGUGGCGGGUUACUUGAAAUGCAGGUGCAGCUGGACUUUUCUCUGAGCUAUAAGCAUAUCUAUUUAGUCUGCCUAAAAAACAGAUUAUUACCUUUGCUGCAGCUAACAUAAAGGAGAUUAGUUCUUGUGCUGACUGAUGCAGGAUUCACAAAGACGGCUUCGGCCGACUUUGUAAACUCGAUCUCAAAUCAAGUAAGACUACCCGCUGAACUUAAGCAUAUCAAUAAGCGGAGGA